RNAcentral lists this ribosomal RNA (811 nucleotides) under Escherichia coli. RNAcentral's name for it is "partial 23S ribosomal RNA". It matches the Rfam family "Bacterial large subunit ribosomal RNA", at positions 417 to 1230 of the family's 2925-position model. Lineage: Bacteria; Pseudomonadati; Pseudomonadota; Gammaproteobacteria; Enterobacterales; Enterobacteriaceae. The record is from RNAcentral.
GCGGGACACGUGGUAUCCUGUCUGAAUAUGGGGGGACCAUCCUCCAAGGCUAAAUACUCCUGACUGACCGAUAGUGAACCAGUACCGUGAGGGAAAGGCGAAAAGAACCCCGGCGAGGGGAGUGAAAAAGAACCUGAAACCGUGUACGUACAAGCAGUGGGAGCCUCUUAAUGGGGUGACUGCGUACCUUUUGUAUAAUGGGUCAGCGACUUAUAUUCUGUAGCAAGGUUAACCGAAUAGGGGAGCCGAAGGGAAACCGAGUCUUAACUGGGCGUUAAGUUGCAGGGUAUAGACCCGAAACCCGGUGAUCUAGCCAUGGGCAGGUUGAAGGUUGGGUAACACUAACUGGAGGACCGAACCGACUAAUGUUGAAAAAUUAGCGGAUGACUUGUGGCUGGGGGUGAAAGGCCAAUCAAACCGGGAGAUAGCUGGUUCUCCCCGAAAGCUAUUUAGGUAGCGCCUCGUGAAUUCAUCUCCGGGGGUAGAGCACUGUUUCGGCAAGGGGGUCAUCCCGACUUACCAACCCGAUGCAAACUGCGAAUACCGGAGAAUGUUAUCACGGGAGACACACGGCGGGUGCUAACGUCCGUCGUGAAGAGGGAAACAACCCAGACCGCCAGCUAAGGUCCCAAAGUCAUGGUUAAGUGGGAAACGAUGUGGGAAGGCCCAGACAGCCAGGAUGUUGGCUUAGAAGCAGCCAUCAUUUAAAGAAAGCGUAAUAGCUCACUGGUCGAGUCGGCCUGCGCGGAAGAUGUAACGGGGCUAAACCAUGCACCGAAGCUGCGGCAGCGACACUAUGUGUUGUUGGGUA